Molecule: ribosomal RNA, 525 nt
Filed under: soil fungal sp. DM2-041
Lineage: Eukaryota; Fungi
Description: eukaryotic LSU rRNA
Rfam family: Eukaryotic large subunit ribosomal RNA
Source: RNAcentral
ACGGCGAGUGAGCGGCAGAGCUCAAUUUGAAAGCUGGCUCCUUCGGGGUCCGCAUUGUAAUUUGUAGAGGAUGCUUCGGGAGCGGUCCCCAUCUAAGUGCCCUGGAACGGGACGUCAUAGAGGGUGAGAAUCCCGUAUGGGAUGGGGUGUCCGCGCCCGUGUGAAGCUCCUUCGACGAGUCGAGUUGUUUGGGAAUGCAGCUCUAAAUGGGUGGUAAAUUUCAUCUAAAGCUAAAUAUUGGCCGGAGACCGAUAGCGCACAAGUAGAGUGAUCGAAAGAUGAAAAGCACUUUGAAAAGAGAGUUAAAAAGCACGUGAAAUUGUUGAAAGGGAAGCGCUUGCGACCAGACUCGCUCGCGGGGUUCAGCCGGCAUUCGUGCCGGUGUAUUUCCCCGCGGGAGGGCCAGCGUCGGUUUGGGCGGUCGGUCAAAGGCCCUCGGAAGGUAACGCCCCUAGGGGCGNCUUAUAGCCGAGGGUGCAAUGCGACCUGCCUAGACCGAGGAACGCGCUUCGGCUCGGACGCUGG